UGAUAUUAUCAGACUUGUUGCAAGGUUGUUCCAACAAGUCCGAUGUAUAAGUCAUGAUAUAACAAUGUUGUUACAACCUUGCGUCGUCAACCUAGUAACAUUCUUGUUAUAUCAUGACUGUAUCAGACUUGUUAGAACAACCUUGUAACAAGUCUGAUAGUGCCA
Molecule: non-coding RNA, 165 nt
Organism: Paramuricea clavata
Lineage: Eukaryota; Metazoa; Cnidaria; Anthozoa; Malacalcyonacea; Plexauridae
Source: the annotation of a GenBank genome assembly